RNAcentral lists this ribosomal RNA (1016 nucleotides) under uncultured bacterium. RNAcentral's name for it is "bacterial SSU rRNA". It matches the Rfam family "Bacterial small subunit ribosomal RNA", at positions 8 to 1020 of the family's 1533-position model. The record is from RNAcentral.
AGAGUUUGAUCAUGGCUCAGAUUAAACGCUAGCGGCAUGCCUUACACAUGCAAGUCGAACGGCAGCGGGCUCUUCGGAGUGCCGGCGAGUGGCAAACGGGUGAGUAAUACAUCGGAACAUGCCCAGUAGUGGGGGAUAGCUCGGCGAAAGCCGAAUUAAUACCGCAUACGACCUUCGGGUGAAAGGGGGGGAUCUUCGGACCUCUCGCUAUUGGAGUGGCCGAUGCCUGAUUAGUUUGUUGGUGGGGUAACGGCCUACCAAGGCGACGAUCUUUAGCUGGUCUGAGAGGACGAUCAGCCACAUUGGGACUGAGACACGGCCCAGACUCCUACGGGAGGCAGCAGUGGGGAAUAUUGGACAAUGGGCGCAAGCCUGAUCCAGCCAUACCGCGUGUGUGAAGAAGGCUUUCGGGUUGUAAAGCACUUUAAGUAAGGAGAAAAAGAUUGUAGUUAAUACCUGCAAUCCGUGAUGUUACUUACAGAAUAAGGACCGGCUAAUUCCGUGCCAGCAGCCGCGGUAAUACGGAAGGUCCAAGCGUUAAUCGGAAUUACUGGGCGUAAAGCGCGCGUAGGUGGUUUUUUAAGUUGGAUGUGAAAGCCCUGGGCUCAACCUAGGAACUGCAUCCAAAACUAGAUAACUAGAGUACGAAAGAGGGAAGUAGAAUUCACAGUGUAGCGGUGGAAUGCGUAGAUAUUGUGAAGAAUACCAAUGGCGAAGGCAGCUUCCUGGUUCUGUACUGACACUGAGGUGCGAAAGCGUGGGUAGCGAACAGGAUUAGAUACCCUGGUAGUCCACGCCGUAAACGAUGACAACUAGCUGUUGGGAGACAAGAUCUCUCAGUGGCGCAGCUAACGCUUUAAGUUGUCCGCCUGGGGAGUACGGCCGCAAGGUUAAAACUCAAAUGAAUUGACGGGGACCCGCACAAGCGGUGGAGCAUGUGGUUUAAUUCGAUGCAACGCGAAAAACCUUACCUACUCUUGACAUACUUGGAAGCUCUUGUAAUGAGAGUGUGCUUU